Molecule: ribosomal RNA, 253 nt
Filed under: uncultured bacterium
Lineage: Bacteria
Description: partial 16S ribosomal RNA
Rfam family: Bacterial small subunit ribosomal RNA
Source: RNAcentral
UACGUAGGGUGCAAGCGUUAAUCGGAAUUACUGGGCGUAAAGCGUGCGCAGGCGGUUCCAUAAGACAGAUGUGAAAUCCCCGGGCUCAACCUGGGAACUGCAUUUGUGACUGUGGAGCUAGAGUACGGUAGAGGGGGAUGGAAUUCCGCGUGUAGCAGUGAAAUGCGUAGAUAUGCGGAGGAACACCAAUGGCGAAGGCAAUCCCCUGGACCUGUACUGACGCUCAUGCACGAAAGCGUGGGGAGCAAACAGG